This 249-nucleotide ribosomal RNA is filed under the name Kocuria sp. BN1C. RNAcentral describes it as "partial 16S ribosomal RNA". It matches the Rfam family "Bacterial small subunit ribosomal RNA", at positions 80 to 348 of the family's 1533-position model. Lineage: Bacteria; Bacillati; Actinomycetota; Actinomycetes; Micrococcales; Micrococcaceae. The record is from RNAcentral.
UUGUGGGGUGGAUGAGUGGCGAACGGGUGAGUAAUACGUGAGUAACCUGCCCUUGACUCUGGGAUAAGCCUGGGAAACCGGGUCUAAUACUGGAUACGACGUCCACGCAUGGUGGGGUGUGGAAAGGGUUUUACUGGUUUUGGAUGGGCUCAGCUUUGCUUGUUGGUGGUAAUGGCCCACCAAGGCGCACGGUACCCCCAUGAGGGGUCCGCCCACUGGGACUGUACACGCCCAACUCCUACGGGAGGG